GCCAGGUGUGGUGGCACACGCCUGUAAUCCAAGCUACUCGGGAGGCUGAGGCAGGAGAAUUGCUUGAACCCAGGAGGUGGAGGUUGCAGUGAGCCGAGAUCGUGCCACUGCAUCCAGCCUGGGCAACAGAGCAAGACUCCGUCUAAAAAAAAAAAAAGACUGGGCACAGUGGCUCAUGCCUGUAAUCCCAGCACUUUUGGAGGCUGAGGUGGGUGGAUCAUGAGGUCAGGAGAUGGAGACCAUCCUGGUUAACACGGUGAAACCCUGCCUCU
This 272-nucleotide small RNA is filed under the name Nomascus leucogenys (northern white-cheeked gibbon). RNAcentral describes it as "Metazoan signal recognition particle RNA (ENSNLEG00000030437.1)". The record is from RNAcentral. Lineage: Eukaryota; Metazoa; Chordata; Mammalia; Primates; Hylobatidae.